RNAcentral lists this ribosomal RNA (477 nucleotides) under uncultured organism. Its description in RNAcentral is "partial 16S ribosomal RNA". It matches the Rfam family "Bacterial small subunit ribosomal RNA", at positions 333 to 801 of the family's 1533-position model. The record is from RNAcentral.
ACACUCCUGCGGGAGGCAGCAGUGGGGAAUAUUGCACAAUGGGCGCAAGCCUGAUGCAGCCAUGCCGCGUGUAUGAAGAAGGCCUUCGGGUUGUAAAGUACUUUCAGCGGGGAGGAAGGCAAUACGGUUAAUAACCGUGUUGAUUGACGUUACCCGCAGAAGAAGCACCGGCUAACUCCGUGCCAGCAGCCGCGGUAAUACGGAGGGUGCAAGCGUUAAUCGGAAUUACUGGGCGUAAAGCGCACGCAGGCGGUCUGUCAAGUCGGAUGUGAAAUCCCCGGGCUCAACCUGGGAACUGCAUUCGAAACUGGCAGGCUUGAGUCUUGUAGAGGGGGGUAGAAUUCCAGGUGUAGCGGUGAAAUGCGUAGAGAUCUGGAGGAAUACCGGUGGCGAAGGCGGCCCCCUGGACAAAGACUGACGCUCAGGUGCGAAAGCGUGGGGAGCAAACAGGAUUAGAUACCCCAGUAGUCCCAUGAU